This 471-nucleotide ribosomal RNA is filed under the name uncultured bacterium. RNAcentral's name for it is "SSU rRNA". It matches the Rfam family "Bacterial small subunit ribosomal RNA", at positions 26 to 518 of the family's 1533-position model. The record is from RNAcentral.
AGAACGAACGCUGGCGGCAUGCCUAACACAUGCAAGUCGAACGCUCCUGGGGCUUCGGUCUCAGGGGAGUGGCGCACGGGUGAGUAGCGCGUGGGAACCUGCCCUGUUGUGGGGGAUAACCGAGGGAAACUUCGGCUAAUACCGCAUAAGCCGGUUGUCUUGAAAGAGAUGGCCGGGAAAGAUUUAUCGCGACAGGAGGGGCCCGCGUCGGAUUAGCUAGUUGGUGGGUAACGGCCCACCAAGGCAGUGAUCCGUAGCUGGUCUGAGAGGAUGAUCAGCCACACUGGGACUGAGACACGGCCCAGACUCCUACGGGAGGCAGCAGUGGGGAAUAUUGGACAAUGGGCGCAAGCCUGAUCCAGCAAUGCCGCGUGAGUGAUGAAGGCCUUAGGGUUGUAAAGCUCUUUCGCCCGCGACGAUGAUGACGGUAGCGGGAGAAGAAGCCCCGGCUAACUUCGUGCCAGCAGCCGC